UACUAUGGUCGAUGCAAUCGACUUAACAUCUUUAAAAUCGUUGGCCUUCUGCCAAAAUUUGAAACCUUUAUAAUUGUAAGGUUUAGUGUGUCCAAAGAUGAAACCACAAGCCAAUAUGAGAUUGGUUGAUGGAAUGUAAUUUAUAAAGCGACAAAAGGAAGCUGAAUUAUUGGCGCAUACCAGAGGGAAUUUGAUGAGAUCUGCAUGAUUUGAAGCAUAGGUGACAGACGAAAUUUUAAGGUCGAAGGUUAGUC
Octopus sinensis (East Asian common octopus) is the source of this 254-nucleotide long non-coding RNA. RefSeq lists it as uncharacterized. The record is from RefSeq and is a predicted model, not a curated record. Lineage: Eukaryota; Metazoa; Mollusca; Cephalopoda; Octopoda; Octopodidae. The transcript has 3 exons.